Molecule: ribosomal RNA, 2242 nt
Filed under: marine metagenome
Description: bacterial LSU rRNA
Rfam family: Bacterial large subunit ribosomal RNA
Source: RNAcentral
UCAAGGAAUUAAGAGUUUAUGGGGGAUACCUUGGCAUUCAGAAGCGAUGAAGGACGCGGUUACCGGCGAAACACUUCGGGGAGUUGGAAACAAGCUAUGAUCCGGAGGUCUCCGAAUGAGGAAACUUUUCAUACUACUUAUUGAAUACAUAGAUAAGCAAGAGCGAACCUAGGGAACUGAAACAUCUUAGUACCUAGAGGAACAGAAAGUAAAAAACGAUUCCCUUAGUAGCGGCGAGCGAAACGGGAGAAGCCUAAACUUAAUUAUAUUAAGGGUAGCGGGACAAUUGUUAAUCGAUUAGGACAAUUAGACGAAUAAGUUGGAAUGCUUAGCCAAAGAGAGUGAUAGUCUCGUAGUCGAAAAUUGAAAUAAUCAAAUUGAAUCCCAAGUAGCAUGGAGCACGUGAAAUUCCGUGUGAAUCAGCGAGGACCACCUCGUAAGGCUAAAUAUUCCUGAAUGACCGAUAGUGAAACAGUACCGUGAGGGAAAGGUGAAAAGAACCCCGGGAGGGGAGUGAAAAGAACAUGAAACCAUAAACUUACAACCAGUAGGAGGACGACUAAAACGUCUGACUGCGUGCCUGUUGAAGAAUGAGCCGGCGACUUAUAGGUAGUGGCAGGUUAAGGCAGAGAAUGCUGAAGCCAUAGUGAAAGCGAGCCUGAAUAGGGCAUAUGUCACUGGUUAUAGACCCGAACCCGGAUGAUCUAACCAUGGUCAGGUUGAAGCUUAGGUAAUACUAAGUGGAGGACCGAACCGACUGAUGUUGAAAAAUCAGCGGAUGAAUUGUGGUUAGGGGUGAAAUGCCAAUCGAAUUCGGAGCUAGCUGGUUCUCCCCGAAAUGCGUUUUGGCGCAGCGAUAAAUGUUAUAACUUAGGGGUAAAGCACUGUUACGUAUGCGGGCUGGUAAUUCGGUACCAAAUCGUUGCAAACUAAGAAUACUAAGUGUACAGUUUAUCAGUGAGACUGUGGGGGAUAAGCUCCAUUGUCAAGAGGGAAACAGCCCAGAGCACCAGUUAAGGCCCCUAAAUAAUUACUAAGUGAUAAAGGAGGUGGGAGUGCAAAAACAAUCAGGAGGUUUGCUUAGAAGCAGCAAUCCUUUAAAGAGUGCGUAAUAGCUCACUGAUCGAGUAAACCUGCGCCGAAAAUGUACGGGACUAAGUAAUUUGCCGAAACUGUGCGAUAUAUUUGAAAUAUAUCGGUAGGGGAGCGUUCUGUUGUAGAUUGAAGUAUUAGCGUAAGCGGAUAUGGACGAAGCAGAAGUGAGAAUGUCGGCUUGAGUAACGAAAAUAUAGGUGAGAAUCCUAUACCCCGAAAACCCAAGGUUUCCUCCGGAAGGCUCGUCCGCGGAGGGUAAGUCAGGACCUAAGGCGAGGCUGAAAAGCGUAGUCGAUGGACAACGGGUUAAUAUUCCCGUACCAUUAUUUAUUGAUAACGAGGGACGGAGAAGGCUAAGCUGGCCGGAUAUUGGUUACCGGUUUAAACGUUCGAGAUGAUGAGAAACGGAGAAAACGUUUUGAGUUGAGGCGUGAGUACGAGAUGCUACGGCAUUGAAGCAGUGUAUGUCAGACUUCCAAGAAAAGCUCGCAAUGUCAUAAAUAAAUAAUGCCUGUACCAUAACCGACACAGGUGGGUAGGUAGAGUAUACUAAGGGGCGCGAGAUAACUCUCUCUAAGGAACUCGGCAAAAUGGCUCCGUAACUUCGGGAGAAGGAGUGCCUUAUUUAUAAGGUUGCAAUAACAAGAUCCAAGCAACUGUUUACCAAAAACACAGGUCUCCGCUAAGUCGUAAGACGAUGUAUGGGGGCUGACGCCUGCCCAGUGCCAGAAGGUUAAAGAAGUUGGUUAGCAUUAGCGAAGCUGAUAACUGAAGCCCUGGUGAACGGCGGCCGUAACUAUAACGGUCCUAAGGUAGCGAAAUUCCUUGUCGGGUAAGUUCCGACCCGCACGAAAGGCGUAAUGAUUUGGAUACUGUCUCGGAGAGGGGCUCGGUGAAAUAGACUUGUCUGUGAAGAUGCGGACUACCUGCACCUGGACAGAAAGACCCUAUGAAGCUUUACUGUAACUUGAAAUUGAAAUUGGACUUUACUUGCGCAGUAUAGGUGGGAGGCAUUGAUUUUAUUCUUGCGGGAAUUUAGGAGCCAUCAGUGAGAUACCACUCUGGUAAUGUUAGAUUUCUAACUUUGUAUCAUAAUCUGGUCAAAGGACAGUUUCAGGCGGGCAGUUUGACUGGGGCGGUCGCCUCC